CUGCAGAGGAGCUCUCCUUCUCCAACAGCUUGAGACUCUAGGUCUCCGUGCUCGGAUAAGCAGCACCUAAGCCCUUAGUAGUUUGGACUCUUCAUCCGAAGCCAAACCUCUCACUAACGCUUAUUUCUCUCCCAGGAAGGUGUUACAACACUUCAGGAAGCAAUGCAAUGCAAUGAAAUUCAAGAGACUGGGUUGUUGUCCUCUCUAGGCAGGAUACGCUCCAUCACGACACCUUGAAUGGGAAAUCUUAUACCUUGUCUGAGUUGUGUAGGGCUGUGGAGCUUACCACUUUUGUUGAGGGAAUUGCUUUGGGAGCUAUGGCUUUUUAAAAGGAGACUGCCUUCAAAAACAGAUAAGGAGAAAGAACUUUCUCAUAGUAAUGCUACUGCCUUAAUACCGUUUCCUCCUGCCGCCAUAUAUAUCUAGCUGCUUGCAGCUGCCAGGAGACCGAAGGAUGCAGGCAACAAGAGACUGCUAAAGGCAGGAUCCCUUAACAAAAUCUCAGUUACGUGCUGAUGUUCAGAGGAAGAGAGAUAACUGGUUAGGCCGUUUUUAUCUUUGAUGCAAGUGCCAACUGUAAGGAGUCUUCAAGGCUGUAAUGCAUGCAGAGUAUCAUGUGUACGUUCAAGACAAAAAUACUUAGUAGACAUGGAAGACAUUCGCACGCCCCAUCUGGGAUUCCUGACAGCUUGCCAUCUCAUACGUGACAUGGGCCACCUAUGGAAGAACAAUAGAAAUAGAAACCAGCUGGAAGGACUGCUUCCCUCUGCGAUCUGAUGUGAAGCUUGGACUCAAAGCUGGAGAGACGGAGAGAUGGCUGAGCCCAGGCAGGCGUAGCACCAGGCCCAGGAGGAGAAGACCUCGGGCUGGAGGAGAGGUGGCAUUGCCAAGCGGGGUCCUUCCCCCCCUGCCAAUGUAGAGGCAGCAGGGGGCUUCAUCGCAGCUGCUGGGCUCUGCCCCAUGACCAACGCCAAGGACCCGAAGGGCGCGAUGGACCCCUCACCGGCGACCCCCAGCGCGGCAGCAGGCCCCGUUACCUUCUCCCAGGUGUUUGGACAGCAGUGCCAGCUCAUGGAAGCAGGUAAGAGAGCGAGACACGUGUGAUAUAACCUAAACUUCUU
RNAcentral lists this long non-coding RNA (1121 nucleotides) under Apteryx rowi (Okarito brown kiwi). RNAcentral's name for it is "lncRNA (ENSARWG00000013298.1)". The record is from RNAcentral. Lineage: Eukaryota; Metazoa; Chordata; Aves; Apterygiformes; Apterygidae.